GAUUAGAUACCCUGGUAGUCCACGCUGUAAACGAUGAAUGUUAAAUAUGGGAAGUUUUACUUUCUGUAUUACAGCUAACGCGUUAAACAUUCCGCCUGGGGACUACGGUCGCAAGAUUAAAACUCAAAGGAAUUGACGGGGACCCGCACAAGCGGUGGAGCAUGUGGUUUAAUUCGAUGCAACGCGAAAAACCUUACCACUCCUUGACG
Molecule: ribosomal RNA, 209 nt
Filed under: uncultured bacterium
Lineage: Bacteria
Description: partial 16S ribosomal RNA
Rfam family: Bacterial small subunit ribosomal RNA
Source: RNAcentral